RNAcentral lists this ribosomal RNA (482 nucleotides) under uncultured bacterium. Its description in RNAcentral is "bacterial SSU rRNA". It matches the Rfam family "Bacterial small subunit ribosomal RNA", at positions 28 to 509 of the family's 1533-position model. The record is from RNAcentral.
GACGAACGCUGGCGGCGUGCUUAAUACAUGCAAGUCAACUGAACUUGAGAUAGCAAUAUUUUAAGGGAGGUGGCGCACGGGUGAGUAACACGUAGGUAAUCUGCCUUUAGGUCUGACACAACCCCGAGAAAUCGGGGCUAAUAUCAGAUGAUGCAGCGGCUCGACAUCGAGACAGUUGUUAAACCUUCGGGGCCUAGAGAUGAGCCUGCGUCUGAUUAGGUAGUUGGCGGAGUAAAGCCCACCAAGCCUGCGAUCAGUAGCUGGUCUGAGAGGAUGAUCAGCCACACUGGAACUGAGACACGGUCCAGACUCCUACGGGAGGCAGCAGUAAGGAAUAUUGCUCAAUGGCCGAAAGGCUGAAGCAGCAACGCCGCGUGGAGGACGAAAUACUUUUGUAUGUAAACUCCUGUAAGAAGGGAAAAAUAUUCCGAUUUAUCGGGAUUGAUUGUACCUUCAGAGUAAGCCCCGGCUAACUACGUGCC